UACGUAGGGGGCAAGCGUUAUCCGGAUUUACUGGGUGUAAAGGGAGCGUAGACGGCAUGGCAAGCCAGAUGUGAAAGCCCAGGGCUCAACCCCGGGACUGCAUUUGGAACUGUCAGGCUAGAGUGUCGGAGAGGAAAGCGGAAUUCCUAGUGUAGCGGUGAAAUGCGUAGAUAUUAGGAGGAACACCAGUGGCGAAGGCGGCUUUCUGGACGAUGACUGACGUUGAGGCUCGAAAGCGUGGGGAGCAAACAGG
RNAcentral lists this ribosomal RNA (253 nucleotides) under Mediterraneibacter gnavus ATCC 29149. Its description in RNAcentral is "[Ruminococcus] gnavus ATCC 29149 partial 16S ribosomal RNA". It matches the Rfam family "Bacterial small subunit ribosomal RNA", at positions 524 to 776 of the family's 1533-position model. Lineage: Bacteria; Bacillati; Bacillota; Clostridia; Lachnospirales; Lachnospiraceae. The record is from RNAcentral.